UUGACGACUUUCUCACAGGAUACCCAAAUUGUUUUUUUUUUUGUUUUUGUUUUUUUGCUUUUUUUUUUGUUUUUUGCUUCUUCUUUUUUUACUGACACACACAUAACAAUGGAUUCCCAUGAAGGGGACAUUAGGGUAAUUCCUGCAAUGGUGUCUGAUGCACAAUCUUCAUCGCCAAGAAAACAUGUUAUUUAAGCUUUUCCUCCUCUAAGCUUGCAUAGAGUUGAGCUCAUUCAUUUGCCCUUUUCAUCUCUGGUUUACAUUGCAGUAGUUCACUCACGGGACAUGUGGCAUUCAAAGUACCCCUACUCAUGCGAAAGAUGAACGACACAAGGAACACUAGUAAACAACAUAACAUCCCUUGUCUUUGGCUCACAACAUUCACCGAGGGUCCCAUAAGUUUCAACUAGGCCAAUAGUGAUUGGAUUCUUAGAGCUAGUACAUUCAUGAAUGUUUCCCACCUUUCAUACUCGGUUAAUCAAUGCAAGAACCACUCUAGGCAUCCUUGAGUAAGACCUCUUGUUGUAAGUAUGGAUUCACUCACCAAUCUCAAGGGUGUACUUUUACGAUUUUCUCUAACUUCAAGAUAGAGGUAUACUGCCCAGGGUAGUUGUAUGGAGCUUUGCCCUCGAGAAAUGCAUUUAAGAUUUGCCCAAAUUCUUUCAUUCUGACAAGCUUGACAAAAUCUUAUAUCCGUUCUUGAACGCGUCUUUCAGGGUUAUUUCAAGGGAUUAAUAUUGCUUCCCUUGGCCUCAAUGUGUAUGCUUUUCUUCAAAAUGUCUGAACUCGAAUACCCCUUGACUCAAAAUUCCAUGUUAAUUUCCAUUUUUACCGUAAUCAAGACUUUAUAAUUUCUUGACUAGAACCCACAAAAUUUGACGAGACCAUAAAAACAUGAGCAACAAAGAAAGAAGGAAAAAGAAUGUAGUGAUAUGUACAAGGUGCUUGAUUUUAUUAAGCAAAAAUGAGGGUUAUAAGACUGCACACAUCUCCCCUUAUGCCCUAGUGAAGGUUCAACAUUUUAGAUUUAAGGUCAAGUAUAUGCAAUCUCACCAGGAUAGUUCCCUGAGCCUAAGGAUCAAAGGUCACUAGAGCUAUAGCCCCCUUCAAAGCAUCUCCACAACAGUCGAGUAAUCAACUAGAUGAGGAGACAUAAGUGAAGAGAACAGAAUCUAGCUGGAGUUCUCACGAUAGCCAGACAGGAUAUACAUCCCAGAGUGACACCGCUACAUAACUCCUCUAAUUCUAAGUUAUGCUCAGACCCGGGUAUAGGGCCCCACUCAAUAGAUGCAUAAUAUGUGUGUGUGUGAAGGGAGAAUGCAAUGCGCCCAAACCCUCACCUGCAAAACAAGCAGAAGAUUCCCAGGCAGAUAUAAACAUGUUUUCUACCCUAGGGUUCGAUAUCCAACAAUUCACAUGCAGUUAUUCCAAAUAUCAAGCAUAAAUAAAGAAAAGGGAAAAGAAAAACACAAAGCAAAACCACAUCGAAUUCGCACAUCUAAUUAAAUGGCCUGACUCUCACAUGGUCCCUAGUGGAGUCGCCAUCUGUCGCAACCGGAAAAUCGCGAUGGGACGACGAUCCAAAAAAGAAACAGUUUUUGGAAAAAAGAGAUUUUGGAGUCGCCAUCAUAGUUUAUCUGGAAAACUACGGAAAAAUCGUAAAAUGAUAAGGCAAGGUCUACAAAACCAAAUUCUGGUUUCAGAAGUCGGUUACGUGUGGGGAAGGUGUUAGCACCCCCACCACGCCUGCCCUAAGGCAGUACCUUUAACUAAAUACGCGAAUUUGAUGUGGUUUGCAAAAUGUUUAAUUUCCCCUAAAAAAUAAAACUCUAAAGAAAACAAAAUAUUUUUUUGUGUUUUUUGUGCCCGACAAGGAUUGACCUUGCUCCUACGUAUUCUC
This 1900-nucleotide long non-coding RNA is filed under the name Vigna radiata. RNAcentral's name for it is "long non-coding RNA (VRAD_LNC001201)". Lineage: Eukaryota; Viridiplantae; Streptophyta; Magnoliopsida; Fabales; Fabaceae. The record is from RNAcentral.